CUGGAACGGAUGGAGAGCAUACAGAUGCAUGUGAAUGGCAGACGACAGAAAAUGAAAGUGAUUUAAUGAAAUCACCACAACGUUGCAGUGUCGUCCUACGUGUCACUGACCCGUACUAGAUUGCCUAUUGCUGCUUUACGUUGACAGAACGGAUAAAUAUUUAACUGUCGCAGAGAAGGUGGGUGGCAUCGGGUCUCAGAGAAGAAAAUGACACUAGUUGGCCUACGUCAUGUGGCUGUGUUAUCAAUGGUGCGAUGACAGGGUAAUUGUUUAUUUUGUUCAUUUAAAAAAAGUGAGAGGAAAAAAACGUUGCUCCACAUGGUUCACUAACCGGGUCCGCGCGCGACAAUCACAUUGACAACCGAGAUGAGGGGCGGAAAAACUAGGCCUACCAUGUGACUGAAAUAGUGUAUGUACAGAGGAAAACAGUUUAGGAGAGCAUGAUAUCUAUUUACCAGGUCAGAUGAGGCAAGUGGCCAAGGGUAAGAUAUUCUGUCGCUAUGGCACUUUACGCGCGGACAUAAGUCAGUCGUUUCAGCACCAUGGAUAGCGAACGGAGACUCACGCAGGUAAUCAUAGAAAUGCGGUCGGAAAUCCGGAAAUUGGAGUUAGAGAACAUGGGGCUGAGAAGAGUUGGAAAGAAGUUAAGAAGGAGUACUACCUCCCCUACAUUAGUGGCCGAAUACAAAAAGAGCAUCGUCAUGACUGUGAGAAGAUAUUCCAUCUUCCAGUCCUUGGUCGAUCAUCAACCCAGGAGAUUUUAAUGUGACCAGGGUGCAGAGAGAGAGAGAGAGAGAGAGAGAGAGAGAUGGAAUAACCCUCUGACGGAGGCACGGUGGACACUGGACAGCAUAAUGUGACAUGUGAAGGGUGACAUUUACUUAGUUGUUCCGUUCAUCACCUGACCCUCGCCUGACCCUCAUCUUCUUGUGAUGUGUGUUUUGUCCUAUAUUUAAAUUUAUUUAUAUUUUUAAUCCCAGCCUCUGUCCUCGCUUGAGGCCUUUUGCCUUUUGGUAGGCCGCCAUUGUAAAUAAGAAUUUGUUCUUAAUGUUCUUAAACUGACUUGCCUAGUUAAAUAAAGGUUAAAUAAAUAACUAUAGCCUUGGAUUGAUAAGAGUGCAACGUUACCCUCUUGUGGGUGUUUACUGUAUUGCAGUUGAGGCUCAUUAUCACGCAUGUAGCCAUCACCGGCUUCUGUAAUUCUCUGAGCAAAUACCAACAGUAAUUGUAACACAAUUAUUUUUGUGCAUAGCCAAAAGAAUUAAAGUCAUUUCCCAUUUUUAGGGAAACAAUCUGAGGCAAAUAUGGGGGCCCCC
This is a long non-coding RNA of Oncorhynchus tshawytscha (Chinook salmon), 1316 nucleotides long. Lineage: Eukaryota; Metazoa; Chordata; Actinopteri; Salmoniformes; Salmonidae. The record is from Ensembl.